AUGCCUACGUUUUCAAAGGUUAGAGCGUUGUUGGCCAAUGUUCGUUGCUGGGUGGCUUGGAGGAUCAUACCUUUGAGCCGCCGGCCUGGGUUAAUGUGCACAUAUACUGGUGAUACCAAAGAUGCACUGCGCCACUGCCCAACACGUUUGUCUGAUAAAGCAAUUAAUGAUAUGACCAAAACUCUUCUCAAUGAAAGCUUGGAGAGCUGCAGCAAAGUAGGGUUGAAUCCCUUCUGCACACUCAACCCGCCACUGGAUGCUGGAUCCGCCUUUUGGAAAAAGAAGUAUGAUGAGAAAGCCGCCAAGAAAGCCAGGUCUAAGACUAAAGCCCUGAAGAAGAAUAAGAAGAAAUCAACCGCCUCUGAUAUGUUGAACCUGGAUGAGAAUGAUGAGUCGGAGGUAGACUUUGAUUCCCUUGGCUCUUUUUUAAAUUAUCUUAUUGACACUGAUUGCUAUCAGGAUGAUGCGGAAACCAGCCAGGCGGGUGAUGAAGAGCAUGAGAGCCGGUGCAGAACUCGGACCAGUGGAGGCGGAGAGCUUUCCUCCGGUUUACCUAGCACACCAGCCCCACGCGAACGCCGGAAUGAGGUGCUUCAGAAUUCCAACUCUUUUUAUCCCAAGGCAGGUCUUAUUCGCCAACCACUUAAUCCUUCCAACUCAAAUUAUCAGGGGACUUCUCACUCUUCUUCUGGCGAUUCAUCUCAGACCCAGCUCCCGGCUUUCAAGACUGCCCCUGGUGGGAUGGCAAAGCCUAGCAAGAAGGCAAAAAAUAAUAAACCGGUCGAAGACCCAAAUGCUCAUGAGCCGGAGAAGCAAGCACCGGUAUCUGAGGCUUCUGUGGAACGCCCGUAG
This 852-nucleotide ribosomal RNA is filed under the name Triticum aestivum (bread wheat). RNAcentral describes it as "partial small subunit ribosomal RNA". The record is from RNAcentral. Lineage: Eukaryota; Viridiplantae; Streptophyta; Magnoliopsida; Poales; Poaceae.